UUGAAAGUUGACUAUCCUUGUUAUUUUUAACAAUUGACUAAUGCUUCCUAAUCAUUAACGUCUGUCAACAUAGUUAUGAAAAAGAUUAUUUUACCCUGUAUGGUAGAUUACUCGGAUCUCUCCCUCUCCCUCUCGUUCUCUUCGUCGGAACUGCCAAAAACACCGGAACUUGAAUCGGACAACAGUAAGACUCUUUACGGCCAGAACUGUAGAUCUCUCAGAACCAUCGGAACCGCCACUCUUCUCAGGCGCUCUUCUCCGUAAUCGCCAUCCUUCGGAACAGUAGAGGUCGGCGCCCCUCUCAUUCUCUUUGAAACCAUUGCAACCGCCACUCCUCUAGCUCUCUUCUAAAACACCACAUCCCGUUCAGCCAUCUCCUCAAUCGGAGACCCCUUCAAGCGCUUCUUCUAAAGCACACCCAUCCUACGAGUUCCGCAUCAGGAGAGUCUCGAUUUUGAUCGCAAAGAAGAGAUCCUAAGACUCUUCAGGUUUUGAUUUUGAUCCUGGAUGGGAGAGAAGCAAAAUUGAAAGAGGGCUUUCGUACAGUUUUGACUUAAUUUUUUGGGUGUUUUUUUUCCUGAUUUUUCUGCUUCUUUUUCUGUUGAUUCAUUCUUUUAUUGGCAAUAGAGCAAAAUAUUCUUCUGACUACACAGUUAUCUUUUGAUGACUUUGGAGAUGCAAAGGCUUGGCAUCUUGGGUUCCGAUUCCACACUGCUAUCUUCUGAUGGUUUUGGAGAUGCAAAGGCUUGGCGUCUUGGGUUCCGAUUCCACCCCACGGAUGAGGAACUGAUCCUCUAUUAUCUAAAGAUGAAAAUGUGUAGACGCCGAAUCCAGCUCAAUCAUAGAAAUCGACGUCUACAAGUGGGAUCCUGAAGAAUUACCAAGUUGAACUAAAGCCAAUGGCUGUCGGUAAUUCCUCCUCCAGAAGAAAAUCUUUGUUGCAGGUCGAACUAAAGCCAAAGCACGUUAAGCCUUCCUCCGAGAUUUGGGAUUGUUUUUUUCUUUCGUUAUGUGCGUUGUCUACAGGAUGCCUGUCGUCUGUUGUCGGACGUGAAAGACUUGUAGUUGACGGAGCCGGAGACUUUCCUCCUGCAGCACUUGCGAAGCCGGAGCCGCCUCCCCUGCAACAUUUACGGAGUUGGAGCCUGUGUCACGUCCUACAGUCAUAAUACAGGGGUAGUAUGGAAAGGUCGGGAAAGAUGAACAGUAUUCUUUAUAGUACGGGGAUUAAAAAAUAUUGUAACGUCUUUUUGGAUGGAAGGCUAAUGGAAGCCUGUAGUUUGUCUCACGGUCAUAGGGGUCUUUGUGGCAAAAUAAAGUACAGGGGUCUUUGUCACAGACCCAUAGUACAGGAGUCUUUAUAAUUUAUUUGUUAAGGGUAAA
Non-coding RNA from Nelumbo nucifera (sacred lotus), 1383 nucleotides. NCBI's taxonomy places the organism in Eukaryota, Viridiplantae, Streptophyta, Magnoliopsida, Proteales, Nelumbonaceae. The record is from RefSeq and is a predicted model, not a curated record.